Vulpes vulpes (red fox) is the source of this 593-nucleotide long non-coding RNA. The record is from Ensembl. NCBI's taxonomy places the organism in Eukaryota, Metazoa, Chordata, Mammalia, Carnivora, Canidae.
GAGACAAGGCAGGGAGGUGACAGGUCUAGGGAGGCCCUGCUAGGGGAAGAGUCUGGGAAAGGUGGUGACAAGUCCUGGGUAAGUGCUGAGUGGUGAGGGCCACAGAAAGGAGCAGCUCCAGUUGGAUCAACAGGUCAUGGGUGGGACUCAUAGUGACCUCGCCACUAACUCUUGAAAGAGUCCCAAUCAAGUGCUGUCUGCUGGAGUGAGAGCCACUCCCUGGUUCCUGGAGGGCACCCACCAACGGACACAGGACUGGAAGCCCAGGCUGGGAAGUGCAACCCGGGGUGAAGGCCAGGGAGAAGCAGGUGCUCUGCAGUGGCCAGGAAAGGUCCAGACUGGGCGGUGGAAUUGCUUCUGUUACGUGCGGGCGUUCUUCUCUGUCUCUGCCAGGCACUCUCGGACUAGGGCUAGGCAUGGAUGAUGCCUCUCUUCAGGCGCCCCAUGGCGCUCUUGCUGCCAGCAUAGUUCUGAAGCAGACUAUGGGAAAUAGGUACUUUGAAGAUUUUUAUAGACUCUGUGUGCCUGCCUGCUUGGUGCUAUGGCUGACCUGGACUGGGGCUUACUUGGUGGGAUGGCUGGACUUGAGAUAA